Helicoverpa armigera (cotton bollworm) is the source of this 884-nucleotide long non-coding RNA. RefSeq lists it as uncharacterized. The record is from RefSeq and is a predicted model, not a curated record. NCBI's taxonomy places the organism in Eukaryota, Metazoa, Arthropoda, Insecta, Lepidoptera, Noctuidae. The transcript is spliced from 2 exons.
GUAAAAAAGAAAAAUGAAACUGUCAUGAAAAAGUUUCGUUGUCAAAAAUGACAUAAAAAAUAACUACAUGGCCUACAGAUUUUAGAGGAAAUGUGAUCAAAUGGGGUGGAGCGAGAUGUCCCCGUUUUCCCAUUAUACUGGCUAUGGUAGAACUGACUUAUAUUAAUACAUUUAUAGUUUUAAUCGUUGGCAUCCACAUUUGCUACGUUGUGCUUAGCUUCGAGCGAGUCGAUCGUGAUACUGGGGGCUCUUGCAAAGCUGCCGACUGUCAGACAGAUGUAAUAGAUGUAAAAUCCGCAUGUCACAGCGCCUGCGACUGCGAAGACUUCGCAUAAACAUACGAACAUGACUCACCAGUAACCGCAAGGAUUUGGCAGAGGAGGAAAGAGAUUGCACACAUUGCAGCUGAAGUGAUAGUAGACGUUUUAGCAUGGGCUACAAUAAUUUUGGGAACCUAUGUAUUGAUACUAUGCUGAAUUUCAUCAACAGAUAUUUCACUAAAAGUAACACGCAAGCAAAACAGGAUCCUCAAAAAGAACAGAAAAUAAUCUCUGAAAGAUACUUGCUGGAUUGCCUUGCGUUAUUAAGCUCUAUGUAAUUCUAGUCAAACUAACAGGCAGAAUAUUGCCUUAAUUUUAUAGAAGAUAAUUGAAGAAAUAAAAUUAGCACAAUGAUAAAAAUAGUAACUUAUAAAAGAGUCAUCUGGAAUGGAACUGGUUAUAUGGAACAGGAAACUAAGUUCUUCCAAUUCCCCGACUCCCCGUGUCUCUUCCGCAUAGCAUCACAAAAAUUCAUGGACUGAGUUCAUUCCUAUUCAUAUAAAUAUUUUUAUUGACAUUCGAAUAACCUCUAAUGUUUCAAAGAAAAUAAAUAUUUUUUAGAAA